Molecule: long non-coding RNA, 251 nt
Filed under: Rattus norvegicus (Norway rat)
Lineage: Eukaryota; Metazoa; Chordata; Mammalia; Rodentia; Muridae
Description: long non-coding RNA NONRATT026348
Source: RNAcentral
GACGGAGCAAAGCCUGGUGGGCCCAAAAGCCAGCCCCUCGGAGAGCGAAAAGGAACGGGCCAAGACCGCAGACUCCAGCCCAGACACCUCGGAUAAUGAAGCUAAAGAGGAGAUAAAGGCAGAAAACACCACAGGAAAUUGGCUGACAGCAAAGAGCGGAAGGAAGAAGAGAAAUUCCACACAGAAGAACAAAAACAUUAAAAAAUAGAACAUAGCAAAGUAAAAACAAAUUCCACCCCCACCCCAAGUUG